GCGUGCUCGUUUGGGUGGGGCGUCGGCUAAGAGUGCUCGGAGCGUGGAUUAACUCCAGUCUCCAAUCAGGUGUGUAUUUCUCACUACUCUAGUUGUAGGAUGGCAACUUCGGGCCGCGAUGGGCCGAAAGGGGCCAUGUAGGCCCAAUGGGCCUACGAGCCCAAUUGGAUAAGUUGUUUGAUUGUGUAGUAAAUAUUGGACUAGGCUAGGUGAAUCUCAUAUUUGUGGCUAGAUUUGGGCUAAAAGGGCCACACGAGCGUGUGGGCCCAUUUGGACCGAGAAUAGGCUUUAGGCUCAUUCGUAUUGUUAUCCCUGUUAAGAAUACUUUAGUUUACCAAAUUACUGAAAUGCCCUCAAAUUGUAAAAUUACCAAAGUACCCUCGAUUUAUAGAAUUACCAUUUUACCCUCGAUUUAUAGAAUUACCAUUUUACCCCCGAUUUACAGAAUUACCAUUUUACCCUCAAUUUAUAUAAUUACCGUUUUACCCUCGAUUUAUAGAAUUACCGUUUUACCCUCGAUUUAUAGAAUUAUCGUUUUACCCUCGAUUUACAAAAUUAUUAAAAUACCCUUGGUUUACAAAAUUACCAAAAUACCCUUGAUCAGUAAAAUUACCAAGAUACCCCUGGUUUGUAAAAUUACUAAAAUACCAUUGGUUUGUAAAAUUACCAAAAUACCCCUAACUUGUAAAAUUACCAAAAUACCCUUGAUUUGUGAAAUUAUCGAAAUACUCUCAAUUUGUAGAAUUAUCGAAAUACCCUUGUAAGGUAAAUUUACCGAAAUACCCUCAAUUUGUAAAAUUAACAAAAUACCCCUAGUUUGUAAAAUUACCAAAAUACCACUGGUUUGUGAAAUUAUCGAAAUACCCUCAAUUUGUAAAAUUACGAAAAUACCCCUGAUUUACAAAGUUACAGAAAUACCUUUGACUUUUUAAAAAUUAUGGAAAUACCAUUGGUUUACAAAAUUACUGAAAUACCCUUGGUUUGUAGAUUUACCAAAACACCCUUCUAGGAUGAAAUGACUAAAAUACCCCUAUUAGGUAUAAAGACCGUAAAGCCCCUGUAGGGUAAAGAGACCGUAAAGCCCCUGUAGGGUAAAGUGACCGUAAUACCCUUGUAUGGUAAAAUGAUGAAUAUGCCCUUAUGUUCCGUAUGACUGAUGUGCUUAGGAUUUACAUAUAUUGAUAUUGGAUUAGUUAAGUUUGAGUGACAGGUGGUGGUUAUCGUAGGCAAUUGAUUUUGGAAACGUUUCAACUUCAACCCGUAACAGGUGUGUACUAACCCUCGUAGUAGCUUAGAUUAAUAUUUGCUGAGAAGCCGAAAUGGUAAAAUAUCGGUAUUUUGGGAACUCGUAAUGUUGCGUUUGGGUAUAGAUGCGAUAAAUACGAUAAGAUCGGUGUUUGGAUCGAUGGAACAGGUAA
This 1418-nucleotide long non-coding RNA is filed under the name Gossypium barbadense (sea-island cotton). Its description in RNAcentral is "long non-coding RNA (GBAR_LNC012521)". Lineage: Eukaryota; Viridiplantae; Streptophyta; Magnoliopsida; Malvales; Malvaceae. The record is from RNAcentral.